Molecule: transfer RNA, 70 nt
Filed under: Loxodonta africana (African savanna elephant)
Lineage: Eukaryota; Metazoa; Chordata; Mammalia; Proboscidea; Elephantidae
Rfam family: tRNA
About the family: Transfer RNA (tRNA) molecules are approximately 80 nucleotides in length. Their secondary structure includes four short double-helical elements and three loops (D, anti-codon, and T loops). Further hydrogen bonds mediate the characteristic L-shaped molecular structure. tRNAs have two regions of fundamental functional importance: the anti-codon, which is responsible for specific mRNA codon recognition, and the 3' end, to which the tRNAs corresponding amino acid is attached (by aminoacyl-tRNA synthetases). tRNAs cope with the degeneracy of the genetic code in two manners: having more than one tRNA (with a specific anti-codon) for a particular amino acid; and 'wobble' base-pairing, i.e. permitting non-standard base-pairing at the 3rd anti-codon position.
Source: Rfam by way of RNAcentral
GAUUGGUGAUUCAGUGGUGGAAUUCUCACCUUCCAUGUGGGAGACCUGAGUUCCAUUCCUGGCCAAUGCA